ACGCUCGACACCUACGGGAGGUAGCAGUGGGGAAUAUUGCACAAUGGGGGAAACCCGUGAUGCAGCGACGCCGCGUGAGCGAAGAAGUAUUUCGGUAUGUAAAGCUCUAUCAGCAGGGAAGAAACUGACGGUACCUGACUAAGAAGCACCGGCUAAAUACGUGCCAGCAGCCGCGGUAAUCUGAGCGGGCUGGCAAGGC
This 199-nucleotide ribosomal RNA is filed under the name uncultured bacterium. Its description in RNAcentral is "partial 16S ribosomal RNA". It matches the Rfam family "Bacterial small subunit ribosomal RNA", at positions 328 to 539 of the family's 1533-position model. The record is from RNAcentral.